RNAcentral lists this ribosomal RNA (244 nucleotides) under uncultured Staphylococcus sp. RNAcentral's name for it is "partial 16S ribosomal RNA". It matches the Rfam family "Bacterial small subunit ribosomal RNA", at positions 96 to 334 of the family's 1533-position model. Lineage: Bacteria; Bacillati; Bacillota; Bacilli; Caryophanales; Staphylococcaceae. The record is from RNAcentral.
CGGCGGACGGGUGAGUAACACGUGGAUAACCCACCUAUAAGACUGGGAUAACUUCGGGAAACCGGAGCUAAUACCGGAUAAUAUAUUGAACCGCAUGGUUCAAUAGUGAAAGACGGUUUUGCUGUCACUUAUAGAUGGAUCCGCGCCGCAUUAGCUAGUUGGUAAGGUAACGGCUUACCAAGGCAACGAUGCGUAGCCGACCUGAGAGGGUGAUCGGCCACACUGGAACUGAGACACGGUCCAG